AUUCCAGCUCUAAUAGCGUAUAUUAAUGUUGUUGCAGUUAAAAAGCUCGUAGUUGGAUUUUGGUGUUUGACAAAUGGUCUGCCUUCGGGUUUGCACUGUUUGUUGGCACUUCUUUUCUGGGGAACUCACUGCUCUUAAUUGAGGGGUGCUGUAACGCAGAUCGUUUACUUUGAAAAAAUUAGAGUGUUCAAAGCAGGCCAACGCAUUGAAUACAUUAGCAUGGAAUAAUGGAAUAGGACUUUGGUCUUAUUUUGUUGGUUUCGAACACCGGAGUAAUGAUUAACAGGGACAGUCAGGGGCACUCGUAUUCCGCCGAGAGAGGUGAAAUUCUUAGACCAGCGGAAGACGAACCACUGCGAAAGCAUUUGCCAGGGAUGUUUUCAUUA
Molecule: ribosomal RNA, 386 nt
Filed under: Leucocryptos sp.
Lineage: Eukaryota; Cryptophyceae; Kathablepharidacea; Katablepharidaceae
Description: partial small subunit ribosomal RNA
Rfam family: Eukaryotic small subunit ribosomal RNA
Source: RNAcentral